AAGAGAGACAAAACAGCACAUUUGUGUGUAAAAGAAAAAUAGAUAAUCGUUGUAGAUGGACAAAUAGAGUUGGAUAGAGAGAGAAAGAGAAAGAGAAAGUAAAGAGAGAGGACUGUGAUCAGAUUCUGCUGUUGUUAGUUUUUGACAGUUGACUCGGCUGUUAUUUAUCUCUCUCAAAAUUCUCACACAAGUAUUAUUAUUCGCAGUGAAUGCCUCGAGAGCACGACACAAUCACAAAAACCCUGGAAAAAAUAACCCUCCAAGAUUUCAGCUGACCCGGAUUUCAUUUAUUUAAGGAUCUAAAGGCGGCAUAGGGCCGAGGCUAAGGCCUGCACAACAAUAGGUUUUAUAGAUCAGAUCGGUUUGAUGAAAAUAUGAGGUCUACAGUCCAAUUCUAAUGGGUUGAGCCCAUGAGUUAGUCCCUUAAUUUUUUUUAAUUGUCAACUGUAACCGACCAGUAUCGGGUUUUUUUCUCGGGUUCUAAAUCGGUUCAAUUGAAUUGACACCUUUAAUAGGA
Mangifera indica (mango) is the source of this 517-nucleotide long non-coding RNA. RefSeq lists it as uncharacterized. The record is from RefSeq and is a predicted model, not a curated record. The transcript has 2 exons. NCBI's taxonomy places the organism in Eukaryota, Viridiplantae, Streptophyta, Magnoliopsida, Sapindales, Anacardiaceae.